UUCCUGUUGCUUCCUGGUAUAUUGACUGCUCCGGUGAUCAUUCUGUAGUAGUACUUUAUCUUGUAUUUCCCUCAGUAUGUUCCCCUCCCGACAUUUCCUGUUUAGUUCUUCAUUUCUGUUAUUUGUAUAUACACUGUUAAAUUGUACAGAUUGAUUUGUAGGUGCCUUGCCUUAGCCUCGUCACUACUUUGUCGAGGUUAGGCUCGACACUUACCAGUACAUAGGGUCGGUUGUACUGAUACUGCACUCUGCAC
RNAcentral lists this long non-coding RNA (254 nucleotides) under Nicotiana tabacum (common tobacco). Its description in RNAcentral is "long non-coding RNA (NTAB_LNC011916)". Lineage: Eukaryota; Viridiplantae; Streptophyta; Magnoliopsida; Solanales; Solanaceae. The record is from RNAcentral.